AGAGUUUGAUCCUGGCUCAGAAUCAACGCUGGCGGCGUGCCUAACACAUGCAAGUCGAACGAGAAAGUGGUAGCAAUACCAUGAGUAAAGUGGCGCACGGGUGAGUAACACGUGACUAACCUACCCUGGAGUGGGGGAUAACUGAGGGAAACCUUAGCUAAUACCGCAUAAUACCCACGGGUCAAAGGAGCAAUUCGCUCCAGGAGGGGGUCGCGGCCGAUUAGUUAGUUGGCGGGGUAACGGCCCACCAAGACGAUGAUCGGUAUCCGGCCUGAGAGGGCGCACGGACACACUGGAACUGAAACACGGUCCAGACUCCUACGGGAGGCAGCAGUGGGGAAUUUUGCGCAAUGGGGGAAACCCUGACGCAGCAACGCCGCGUGGAGGAUGAAGUCCUUCGGGACGUAAACUCCUUUCGAUCGGGACGAUAAUGACGGUACCGGAAGAAGAAGCCCCGGCUAACUUCGUGCCAGCAGCCGCGGUAAUACGAGGGGGGCGAGCGUUGUUCGGAAUUAUUGGGCGUAAAGGGUGCGUAGGCGAUUUGGUAAGUCUUAUGUGAAAUCUAUGGGCUCAACUCAUAGACUGCAUGAGAAACUGCCGGGCUCGAGUGUGGGAGAGGUGAGUGGAAUUUCCGGUGUAGCGGUGAAAUGCGUAGAUAUCGGAAGGAACACCUGUGGCGAAAGCGGCUCACUGGACCACAACUGACGCUGAUGCACGAAAGCUAGGGGAGCAAACAGGAUUAGAUACCCCCGUAGUCC
RNAcentral lists this ribosomal RNA (758 nucleotides) under uncultured bacterium. RNAcentral describes it as "bacterial SSU rRNA". It matches the Rfam family "Bacterial small subunit ribosomal RNA", at positions 8 to 796 of the family's 1533-position model. The record is from RNAcentral.